GAGGAGAGGAGGAGGAGGAGGAGGCCGAGGGAGGAGGGCCUGCUCUGGAGGACUGGGCAACGCCUCCUCUCCUUCCUGCCUCUCUAGGAAUCCAGCCUUCCUCCCCUUAACCCUUCCUCGCCCCUUCAGCUCCAGGGCUGCCUCACAAGCCUUGAACUGUCCAGUUGUCUGCCAUUGGAUGACAACAUCAUUACAUCAGAGUCAGGAGCAACUCAAGAAACUGCAAGUCGUCUCUGGUGUGAGAGAAUUGACGUUGCCCGGGGACGCUUCUCUCAUGUCCUCACAGGGGAGCUGGAGCUGACAGAGGGAGCUCAUCCCACGCUACCUGGAUUCCAACCAUUGCACCACUGAGGCUGAACCAUCAGAUAAUACCACUUUUUACAGGAUUUUUUUUAUUCUGGAGAUACUGCUAAUGUUUUCUCUCCCAGGCGUUUCCUUUAUUUCUGUUUUUGAGUAAAAUGUCUCUAUGCAUCAAA
Molecule: long non-coding RNA, 476 nt
Organism: Anolis carolinensis (green anole)
Lineage: Eukaryota; Metazoa; Chordata; Lepidosauria; Squamata; Anolidae
Exons: 2
Source: RefSeq, a predicted model, not a curated record